AAAAGGCGAUGAAGCGAAAGGUUGCUGACACACCCGGCCCCUUUGCCAUGGCAAGGUUGUCAGGAUAAAUUUUCGCGGAGAAAGUCUAUUAUAAAAUGGGCGA
Pontibacillus marinus BH030004 = DSM 16465 is the source of this 103-nucleotide regulatory RNA element. It matches the Rfam family "S10-Clostridia ribosomal protein leader". Lineage: Bacteria; Bacillati; Bacillota; Bacilli; Caryophanales; Bacillaceae. The record is from Rfam.